Molecule: ribosomal RNA, 492 nt
Filed under: uncultured bacterium
Lineage: Bacteria
Description: partial 16S ribosomal RNA
Rfam family: Bacterial small subunit ribosomal RNA
Source: RNAcentral
AGUGAACGCUGGCGGUAGGCCUAACACAUGCAAGUCGAACGGCAGCACAGUAAGAGCUUGCUCUUACGGGUGGCGAGUGGCGGACGGGUGAGGAAUACAUCGGAAUCUACUUUUUCGUGGGGGAUAACGUAGGGACACUUACGCUAAUACCGCAUACGACCUACGGGUGAAAGCAGGGGAUCUUCGGACCUUGCGCGAUUGAAUGAGCCGAUGUCGGAUUAGCUAGUUGGCGGGGUAAAGGCCCACCAAGGCGACGAUCCGUAGCUGGUCUGAGAGGAUGAUCAGCCACACUGGAACUGAGACACGGUCCAGACUCCUACGGGAGGCAGCAGUGGGGAAUAUUGGACAAUGGGCGCAAGCCUGAUCCAGCCAUACCGCGUGGGUGAAGAAGGCCUUCGGGUUGUAAAGCCCUUUUGUUGGGAAAGAAAAACAGCAGGUUAAUACCCCGCUGUUCUGACGGUACCCAAAGAAUAAGCACCGGCUAACUUCGUG